GUUAAAAAGCUCGUAGUUGGAUUUCUGGCGGUGUGACUCCGGCCGGCAUGACGUCGGGUCCAGAGCGCGCCACCAUCCUUCUGUCAACCUUCGCGGGAUUCGCUUCCCGCGAUGUGGGCUCAGAUAUUUUACCUUGAGAAAAUUAGAGUGUUUCAGGCAGGCUUUCGCCGGAAUACAUUAGCAUGGAAUAAUAGAAAAGGACUUCAACCUCUUCUGUUGGUCUGAGGGGCUGUAGUAAUGAUUAAUAGGGAUAGUUGGGGGCAUUAGUACUUGACUGUCAGAGGUGAAAUUCUCCGAUUUGUUAAAGACUAACUUAUGCGAAAGCAUUUGCCAAGGAUGUUUUCAUUAAUCAAGAACGAAAGUUAGGGGAUCAAAGACGAUCAGAUACCGUCCUAGUCUUAACCAUAAACUAUGCCGACUCGGGAUCGGAGGCGCGCAAAAUCGGUCUUCGGCACCGUAUGAGAAAUCCAAAGUCUUUGGGUUCUGGGGGGAGUAUGGUCCAAGGCUGAAACUUAAAGGGAAUUGACGGAAGGGC
This 535-nucleotide ribosomal RNA is filed under the name uncultured eukaryote. RNAcentral describes it as "SSU rRNA". It matches the Rfam family "Eukaryotic small subunit ribosomal RNA", at positions 618 to 1165 of the family's 1831-position model. The record is from RNAcentral.